GCCUUCGUGGUGUAGUGGACAGCACGCUCGUCGCAUAUUCGAGAGAUCCGUGGUUCGAGUCCCGGCGAGGGCA
Molecule: transfer RNA, 73 nt
Filed under: Stegodyphus mimosarum
Lineage: Eukaryota; Metazoa; Arthropoda; Arachnida; Araneae; Eresidae
Rfam family: tRNA
About the family: Transfer RNA (tRNA) molecules are approximately 80 nucleotides in length. Their secondary structure includes four short double-helical elements and three loops (D, anti-codon, and T loops). Further hydrogen bonds mediate the characteristic L-shaped molecular structure. tRNAs have two regions of fundamental functional importance: the anti-codon, which is responsible for specific mRNA codon recognition, and the 3' end, to which the tRNAs corresponding amino acid is attached (by aminoacyl-tRNA synthetases). tRNAs cope with the degeneracy of the genetic code in two manners: having more than one tRNA (with a specific anti-codon) for a particular amino acid; and 'wobble' base-pairing, i.e. permitting non-standard base-pairing at the 3rd anti-codon position.
Source: Rfam by way of RNAcentral